This is a long non-coding RNA of Papaver somniferum (opium poppy), 540 nucleotides long. RefSeq lists it as uncharacterized. The transcript has 2 exons. Lineage: Eukaryota; Viridiplantae; Streptophyta; Magnoliopsida; Ranunculales; Papaveraceae. The record is from RefSeq and is a predicted model, not a curated record.
AAAAAGGUCGAGAAAUGUAGCUGCUGAAACUUCUCAAAGCGAUUCAAUCAAGGAGAAAUCAAAUCCAUCCCUGCUCAAAAAUUCAAGCAAGUUUACUGAUCUGAAACUCACUGUAACCAUGAUGAAAAACAACCAGUCCAAGUUGUCCUACAAUCAAACAGUACCAAUGGAAGGUGUGGAGAUGGAGGAUGUUGAAGUAGAACCAGCUAUUGAGGAAGAAAUUGCACUGAUUAAUAAUAUGGGGGCUGCUAAUCAGGUUCCUUCAUCGGAUGCAAACUAAAAGCCGACUCAGUGAGGAAUGCGGAAGAAGAUGAAAGUCUAGCAUUACUAGAGGCAGUGUCAUGGGAAAAAGCUAAAAGACUUGAGAAAGUGUGUGUUAUCAGUGAUGCUAAAACAAUAAUAGAUGCUUUUAAUUCCUCUAGCAAUCAAAUAUUUUGGUAUAAUAAAUCAGUCUUAGAAGACCGUAAAACAAUUAGUUAUUGUUUUCAUUUGGUUAAGUUUGAAUUUCUUAAAAGAAACCAUAUAAUUUUAGUUGAUCAA